GAANUGGGCGCAGCCUGAUCCAGCCAUCCCGCGUGAAGGAUUAAGGUCCUAUGGAUUGUAAACUUCUUUUCUCUGGGAAUAAAAAGUGGAGUUCACUCCGCCUUGAAGGUACCAGAGGAAUAAGCACCGGCUAACUCCGUGCCAGCAGCCGCGGUAAUACGGAGGGUGCAAGCGUUAUCCGGAUUCACUGGGUUUAAAGGGUGCGUAGGUGGCUUUGUAAGUCAGUGGUGAAAGCCCGGAGCUCAACUCCGGAACUGCCAUUGAUACUGCUUAGCUUGAAUCAGGCCGAGGUGGAUGGAAUAAUACAUGUAGCGGUGAAAUGCUUAGAUAUGUAUUAGAACACCGAUUGCGAAGGCAGUUCACCAGGCCUGUAUUGACACUGAGGCACGAAAGCGUGGGGAUCAAACAGGAUUAGAUACCCUGGUAGUCCACGCCCUAAACGAUGUAAACUCGACAUUAGCGAUAUACAGUUAGUGUCCAAGCGAAAGCGUUAAGUUUACCACCUGGGAAGUACGACCGCAAGGUUGAAACUCAAAGAAAUUGACGGA
RNAcentral lists this ribosomal RNA (548 nucleotides) under uncultured bacterium. RNAcentral describes it as "bacterial SSU rRNA". It matches the Rfam family "Bacterial small subunit ribosomal RNA", at positions 368 to 917 of the family's 1533-position model. The record is from RNAcentral.